This 112-nucleotide transfer RNA is filed under the name Planomonospora sp. ID67723. RNAcentral's name for it is "tRNA-OTHER". The record is from RNAcentral. Lineage: Bacteria; Bacillati; Actinomycetota; Actinomycetes; Streptosporangiales; Streptosporangiaceae.
GGGACGCUGGCGGACAGAACGGCACGAGAUGGCAUGUCGCGGCACCGGAUGGCAGUGAACCCGUAAGCUUUUAAUCCGUAGGUUCUGGGUUCGAGUCCCAGGCGCCCUACCA